AUUGAACGCUGGCGGCAUGCCUUACACAUGCAAGUCGAACGGUAACAGGUCUUCGGAUGCUGACGAGUGGCGAACGGGUGAGUAAUACAUCGGAACGUGCCUAGUAGUGGGGGAUAACUACUCGAAAGAGUGGCUAAUACCGCAUGAGAUCUACGGAUGAAAGCAGGGGAUCGCAAGACCUUGUGCUACUAGAGCGGCCGAUGGCAGAUUAGGUAGUUGGUGGGAUAAAAGCUUACCGAGCCGACGAUCUGUAGCUGGUCUGAGAGGACGAUCAGCCACGCUGGGACUGAGAAACAGCCCAGACUCCUACGGGAGGCAGCAGUGGGGAAUUUUGGACAAUGGGCGCAAGCCUGAUCCAGCAAUGCCGCGUGCAGGAUGAAGGCCUUCGGGUUGUAAACUGCUUUUGUACGGAACGAAAAGCCCCGGGUUAAUACCCUGGGGUCAUGACGGUACCGUAAGAAUAAGCACCGGCUAACUACGUGCCAGCCGCCGCCGUAA
Molecule: ribosomal RNA, 498 nt
Filed under: uncultured bacterium
Lineage: Bacteria
Description: partial 16S ribosomal RNA
Rfam family: Bacterial small subunit ribosomal RNA
Source: RNAcentral